This 72-nucleotide transfer RNA is filed under the name Rhipicephalus sanguineus (brown dog tick). RNAcentral describes it as "transfer RNA methionine (anticodon CAU)". It matches the Rfam family "tRNA". Rfam says of the family: Transfer RNA (tRNA) molecules are approximately 80 nucleotides in length. Lineage: Eukaryota; Metazoa; Arthropoda; Arachnida; Ixodida; Ixodidae. The record is from Rfam by way of RNAcentral.
GCCGCCGUAGCUCAGUGGUAGAGCAUCGGACGCAUCAUUGGAAGGUCGCAGGUUCGGUCCCUGCCGGCGGCA